This 301-nucleotide ribosomal RNA is filed under the name uncultured bacterium. RNAcentral describes it as "partial 16S ribosomal RNA". It matches the Rfam family "Bacterial small subunit ribosomal RNA", at positions 509 to 807 of the family's 1533-position model. The record is from RNAcentral.
CAGCAGCCGCGGGAAUACAGAGGUUGCGAGCGUUAAUCGGAUUUACUGGGCGUAAAGCGUGCGUAGGCGGCUUCUUAAGUCGGAUGUGAAAUCCCUGAGCUUAACUUAGGAAUUGCAUUCGAUACUGGGAAGCUAGAGUAUGGGAGAGGAUGGUAGAAUUCCAGGUGUAGCGGUGAAAUGCGUAGAGAUCUGGAGGAAUACCGAUGGCGAAGGCAGCCAUCUGGCCUAAUACUGACGCUGAGGUACGAAAGCAUGGGGAGCAAACAGGAUUAGAUACCCGAGUAGUCCCUGUCUCUUAUAC